Anopheles coluzzii is the source of this 933-nucleotide long non-coding RNA. RefSeq lists it as uncharacterized. The transcript has 2 exons. NCBI's taxonomy places the organism in Eukaryota, Metazoa, Arthropoda, Insecta, Diptera, Culicidae. The record is from RefSeq and is a predicted model, not a curated record.
ACGUAUUGGCGUUGCACACAAAGCUCCCAACAAUAAAUUACAAACAAUUAUCAAAUUUGAUAUGUUAUAUAUAAUUAUGCAAUUUUCCUAAUUCUAGUUAGUUUGCACUUACUCAAAAAAAAUCAAGAAUUUUGUAAACAAGAUUCAACAAUUCAACCAACUGAAUUCAAUGACGCGCAAUGCUUUCAAUCAACAAAGUUCCGUUUAAUCAACACGAUUGCCCAUCGAACCAAUCAUUGUAAUUAAAUAUCAAUUCCACGAACUUAAAACACAAGACUGUACUGUGUAAAAGGAAACAUCCGAACAAGCAUCGAUAAAUAAAGUCAAUAAAAACUUGCUUGUCUUACGGUCGGGCACGCAAAAUUUGCUGCCGUUUCUUCGAUUCGCAUUGUUUUGCACGACAGUCGUGAGAUGCAAGCGAAUUCCAAGCCAUUCCAAGAACACUGCAAACCGGCAAAGCGGUGGCACAUUGUUGCAACAGCCUCGACCACAGUGACAAUACAAAAUGAACGAGACGGGAAAGCAUCACGUGAAGAGACACCAAGGGGGACUAUCAACGAGCACUAUUACUAGCUGGAUUACUCGACCCGAGGACCGUACAACCGUACGGAGCUAGGAUGAAGCUGUACCCGUUGCUUUCGUUGAUUUUGCUUCUGCUACCAAUUCUAGCGAUACGUUCCUUUACAACAUUUUCUUAAUUUUAAUGCUUCUCGCGUUUUACCGCAUCGCCAGACACUCGGCACGCGAUUGCACUUUUGCUUUUUCUGUUCUGCCUUUUUUCUUCUCCUUCUUUUGGUACAACCUUAUCCCAUCGCACCAGGCUUAAGCUGCACUUUUGAUCCGCUUAGAAAACACCAAGAAACGGAAGCUGGUUCUGGAUGGGGAGCAACGGACACACCGGUAACUAAACUUAGGGUUCGUUUUAUUCUUUGU